Molecule: long non-coding RNA, 396 nt
Filed under: Homo sapiens (human)
Lineage: Eukaryota; Metazoa; Chordata; Mammalia; Primates; Hominidae
Description: HSALNT0281942
Source: RNAcentral
UCAAUUGAGACAGGGUCUUACUCUGUCACCCAGGCUGGAGUGCAGUGGCAUGAUCGUGGCUCACUAUAGCCUUGACCUGGACUCAAGCAAUUCUCCCACCUCAGCCUCCCAAGUAGAUGGGACCACAGGUGCACACCACCACACUCAGCUAAUUUUUAAUUUUUUUCAUAGAAAUGGAGUCUCGCCAUGUUGUGCUGGGACUACAGGUGCAAGCCAUCAUGUAGUGGGAGAUUGGAAGGAGGAAGAAGACUAAGAUGAUCUGUCCAUCGCUGAAAGUGAGGUGGUGAUAUCCCCUACUGUUGUUGUAUUGUAGCUAAUCUCUCUUUUUAGUUCUAUUAAUAUUUGUUUUAUAUAUUUGGCUGCUUCAGGGUUGAGUGCAUAUAUAUGUAAAAUUGU